Molecule: long non-coding RNA, 142 nt
Organism: Lemur catta (Ring-tailed lemur)
Lineage: Eukaryota; Metazoa; Chordata; Mammalia; Primates; Lemuridae
Exons: 3
Source: RefSeq, a predicted model, not a curated record
CUGGGGAUGGUGACAGACGUUGCAAAGAGCAGUUUCCAGACACCGCACCCCCGGCCCAGUUGGAUACUUUGUCUGGGAAGCCUCUUUGUGGGGACAGCUGUCCAGUGAAUUUCUAGAACGUCCUGGAGCAGAGACAUCGUGC